GGGGCUGUAGCUCAGAUGGGAGAGCGCUGCAAUCGCACUGCAGAGGUCAAGGGUUCGAUUCCCUUCAGCUCCACCA
This 76-nucleotide transfer RNA is filed under the name Alterirhizorhabdus solaris. RNAcentral describes it as "Sphingomonas sp. R4DWN tRNA-Ala". It matches the Rfam family "tRNA". Rfam says of the family: Transfer RNA (tRNA) molecules are approximately 80 nucleotides in length. Their secondary structure includes four short double-helical elements and three loops (D, anti-codon, and T loops). Further hydrogen bonds mediate the characteristic L-shaped molecular structure. tRNAs have two regions of fundamental functional importance: the anti-codon, which is responsible for specific mRNA codon recognition, and the 3' end, to which the tRNAs corresponding amino acid is attached (by aminoacyl-tRNA synthetases). tRNAs cope with the degeneracy of the genetic code in two manners: having more than one tRNA (with a specific anti-codon) for a particular amino acid; and 'wobble' base-pairing, i.e. permitting non-standard base-pairing at the 3rd anti-codon position. The record is from RNAcentral. Lineage: Bacteria; Pseudomonadati; Pseudomonadota; Alphaproteobacteria; Sphingomonadales; Rhizorhabdaceae.